RNAcentral lists this ribosomal RNA (440 nucleotides) under uncultured bacterium. RNAcentral describes it as "partial 16S ribosomal RNA". It matches the Rfam family "Bacterial small subunit ribosomal RNA", at positions 338 to 795 of the family's 1533-position model. The record is from RNAcentral.
CCUACGGGAGGCAGCAGUGGGGAAUAUUGCACAAUGGGGGGAACCCUGAUGCAGCAACGCCGCGUGAGUGAAGAAGUAUCUCGGUAUGUAAAGCUCUAUCAGCAGGGAAGAAAAUGACGGUACCUGACUAAGAAGCACCGGCUAAAUACGUGCCAGCAGCCGCGGUAAUACGUAUGGUGCAAGCGUUAUCCGGAUUUACUGGGUGUAAAGGGAGCGCAGGCGGCGCGGCAAGUCAGAUGUGAAAGCCCGGGGCUCAACCCCGGGACUGCAUUUGAAACUGCCGGGCUAGAGUGUCGGAGAGGCAAGUGGAAUUCCUAGUGUAGCGGUGAAAUGCGUAGAUAUUAGGAGGAACACCAGUGGCGAAAGCGGCUCUCUGGUCUGUAACUGACGCUGAGGUUCGAAAGCGUGGGUAGCAAACAGGAUUAGAUACCCCGGUAGUC